Molecule: ribosomal RNA, 114 nt
Filed under: Staphylococcus haemolyticus
Lineage: Bacteria; Bacillati; Bacillota; Bacilli; Caryophanales; Staphylococcaceae
Description: partial 16S ribosomal RNA
Rfam family: Bacterial small subunit ribosomal RNA
Source: RNAcentral
UUUAUGGAGAGUUUGAUCCUGGCUCAGGAUGAACGCUGGCGGCGUGCCUAAUACAUGCAAGUCGAGCGAACAGACAAGGAGCUUGCUCCUUUGACGUUAGCGGCGGACGGGUGA